This 73-nucleotide transfer RNA is filed under the name Ixodes scapularis (black-legged tick). Its description in RNAcentral is "tRNA-Ser". It matches the Rfam family "tRNA". Rfam says of the family: Transfer RNA (tRNA) molecules are approximately 80 nucleotides in length. Their secondary structure includes four short double-helical elements and three loops (D, anti-codon, and T loops). Further hydrogen bonds mediate the characteristic L-shaped molecular structure. tRNAs have two regions of fundamental functional importance: the anti-codon, which is responsible for specific mRNA codon recognition, and the 3' end, to which the tRNAs corresponding amino acid is attached (by aminoacyl-tRNA synthetases). tRNAs cope with the degeneracy of the genetic code in two manners: having more than one tRNA (with a specific anti-codon) for a particular amino acid; and 'wobble' base-pairing, i.e. permitting non-standard base-pairing at the 3rd anti-codon position. The record is from RNAcentral. Lineage: Eukaryota; Metazoa; Arthropoda; Arachnida; Ixodida; Ixodidae.
UCCUGGUUAGCUCAGUUGGUAGAGCGCUCCACUGGAAAUGGAGAGGCUCCUGGUUCGAUACCAGGACCAGGCG